ACAAAAAAAAGAAGAAGAAGAAGAAAAAAUAAUUUUUUUAAGCAAAGACAGAAAAAGAAAUUGAAACAGAGAUUCUUCACCUUCUUCAAUCUUUUUUUAUCUCUUUAUUUCAGCGAACAGCCAAUGGCGUCUUAGUAAAGGCAAUGUAAAAGAAAGGGGGGAAAACAAAGCGCAAAAACCCUAACAGAUUGAGAGAAAAGGAGUAGCUAUGGUGAGUGAAUUC
Molecule: long non-coding RNA, 223 nt
Filed under: Gossypium raimondii (Peruvian cotton)
Lineage: Eukaryota; Viridiplantae; Streptophyta; Magnoliopsida; Malvales; Malvaceae
Description: long non-coding RNA (GRAI_LNC009456)
Source: RNAcentral